GUAUGUGUAGCUCAGUGGCAGAGCACUUGUCUUGUUAACCAGAGGUCGUGAGUUCACUCCUCAGAGCACUCA
Acanthoscelides obtectus is the source of this 72-nucleotide non-coding RNA. Lineage: Eukaryota; Metazoa; Arthropoda; Insecta; Coleoptera; Chrysomelidae. The record is from the annotation of a GenBank genome assembly.